GUGUCAGCAGCCGCGGUAAUACAGAGGGUGCGAGCGUUAAUCGGAGUUACUGGGCGUAAAGGGCGCGUAGGCGGUGAUAUGUGUGCGAUGUGAAAGCCCCGGGCUUAACCUGGGAAGAGCAUCGUAAACGGUAUGACUGGAGUAUAUGAGAGGGUGUCGGAAUUUCCGGUGUAGCGGUGAAAUGCGUAGAGAUCGGAAGGAACGUCGAUGGCGAAGGCAGACACCUGGCAUAAUACUGACGCUGAUGCGCGAAAGCGUGGGGAGCAAACAGGAUUAGAUACCCUGGUAGUCC
RNAcentral lists this ribosomal RNA (292 nucleotides) under uncultured bacterium. RNAcentral's name for it is "partial 16S ribosomal RNA". It matches the Rfam family "Bacterial small subunit ribosomal RNA", at positions 505 to 796 of the family's 1533-position model. The record is from RNAcentral.